RNAcentral lists this small RNA (987 nucleotides) under Pan troglodytes (chimpanzee). Its description in RNAcentral is "retained intron". Lineage: Eukaryota; Metazoa; Chordata; Mammalia; Primates; Hominidae. The record is from RNAcentral.
AUUGCGUUUUGAGUCUCGGGACCCCUGUUGGAGAGACUAUGGCGCUCAACAAGAAUCACUCGGAGGGCGGCGGAGUGAUCGUCAAUAACACCGAGAGCAUCCUAAUGUCCUAUGAUCACGUGGAACUCACAUUCAAUGACAUGAAGAACGUGCCAGAAGCCUUCAAAGGGACCAAGAAAGGCACUGUCUACCUUACCCCUUACCGGGUCAUCUUUCUGUCCAAGGGCAAGGAUGCCAUGCAGUCCUUCAUGAUGCCAUUUUAUCUCAUGAAAGACUGUGAGAUCAAGCAGCCCGUAUUUGGUGCAAACUACAUCAAGGGAACAGUGAAGGCGGAAGCGGGAGCCUCCAGAGGUGAAGUCCCCAGUGGAGCCUAUGGCUACUCUUACAUGCCCAGCGGGGCCUAUGUCUAUCCCCCGCCAGUCGCCAAUGGAAUGUACCCCUGCCCUCCUGGCUACCCCUAUCCACCGCCCCCGCCUGAGUUCUAUCCAGGACCCCCCAUGAUGGACGGGGCCAUGGGAUACGUGCAGCCCCCACCACCGCCCUACCCUGGGCCCAUGGAACCUCCGGUCAGCGGCCCCGAUGUCCCCUCCACUCCUGCAGGUGAGGGCCCUUGGGUGCUGGCAGCCCUUCGGGACCAGCCCUCUCCUCCCCGAUGUCGCACAGAGAGCCUCAGAAUGGCCAGAGACUGCUGAGAGCCGCAGAUGGUGGAUGACCCCUGGACUACCCCAGGGGCCCAGCAGGGCUGUGGCCUGGUGGAGCAGAGCUAGAUUCUGGCCCCACCCCCAUCCGUUAGCUAUCCAUGUGCCCUGGGCAGGGAAGGUCACCCUGUGUGCCUCUCGAUCCUCUCAUCUACACUCAGCUGGUCGGUCACAGUGGCACCUGGGGCAUUGGCUCAAGGAUUAGAUGAGGUGAGACAUGCGAUGGGCCUGGAAAGGACCGUGCCAGCGCGUGGCAUGUGCUCAGGAAACCUCACCUGCUGCUCUCAUU